GGCAGUUCUCAGAUGAUGCAUCCUGGAAUCGGGCUCCUUCCUCUCUGGUUCCAGGUGUGUCACCUGAGAACCGCA
Myotis lucifugus (little brown bat) is the source of this 75-nucleotide non-coding RNA. The record is from Rfam. NCBI's taxonomy places the organism in Eukaryota, Metazoa, Chordata, Mammalia, Chiroptera, Vespertilionidae.